RNAcentral lists this long non-coding RNA (1063 nucleotides) under Triticum aestivum (bread wheat). Its description in RNAcentral is "long non-coding RNA (TAES_LNC008951)". The record is from RNAcentral. Lineage: Eukaryota; Viridiplantae; Streptophyta; Magnoliopsida; Poales; Poaceae.
AUAGCCAUUUAUGUUGCUUCUAUUAGGUGUGGCUGACAAAGACGGGGGGCGAUUUGGGCACGCGAAAGUCCCUUAAAAUCGAGACAAAUCCUACGUUGGAACCAUCUCGAUGUUCUUCGCCAGCUUCGUCGCAUCGAGCCUGUGUAUAUACUAUUGGAUCUUGAAGCCCCAAGUCAUUUUCUGUUCCCAUGAUUAUUUAGCAAAUGCAGAAAACAUUGUCGAUUAUAUUAUAUGUAUAUUGUUGGGUAGUAGUUUUUCCCACUAGAUCUGAAUAUUAGGAAGGAUAUAUCUUGUAGCUGGUCAGAUUCAGAAUCAUGUCGUGAUUUCUUAAGGGCCUAAUGAUUGUUGUUGUUUUUUCCUUUCAAAAGUUAAAACUCCUAGCUGGUUAUCGUAACUAUCAUAAUUGUACAAGCAAGAUUAUCAGAAUAACUAAGCAACUAUUUCUUUAGAUUAAGUACAGAGUUUAGGGUGGUUUUUUUUUGCAGAUUUAUAGUGCCUAUUUUUUAGGAGAUUUAUAGUGCCUAAUUUGAAUCAACAAGGACAAUGAUAUUGCAAGGCUUGAAAUUUUAGACUCACUUUCUAUGCCAAGCUGGAAAAUUGACAUGCCUUAUGAUUAUAUAUGCAACCAGUAAUUUUUUUUGAAAUGCCAGUGGCAACGCAUCCGUUACAUGUUUUAAGACCUUCGGCAUGAAAUUUUCAUACUAACUACAUAUAUUGUUUGUGCAGGAUGGGUAUGAGUUGAGGAACCGGUUUUUAUUAUACUUGCUAAAACAUCGUGGGAAUAAAGCUAAAGGCAACUUUCCUGAUAUUGUGAAAGAAUUUCUUAAGCGCAUCAUCUAGGUAUUGAUAGUUUUGUAAUAGAUGUUUAGUUGGAACAUCACUCAGUUUUUUACAUGGACAUGUCGUUAAUCUUUCUUUUUGUUAUCAAUUUACAUUGCAAAAAUGGACUUCAAUUAUUCAAUAAUUGUGUUUCUGUUAUAUUGUUUGUACAUGUGAAAUUUAACAUGUAAGUCUUGCAAACUAUUUCAAGAGCCCGUGGCAACGCACGGGCACUCUACUAGUA